RNAcentral lists this ribosomal RNA (1247 nucleotides) under Synechococcus sp. MBIC10459. Its description in RNAcentral is "bacterial SSU rRNA". It matches the Rfam family "Bacterial small subunit ribosomal RNA", at positions 124 to 1409 of the family's 1533-position model. The record is from RNAcentral. Lineage: Bacteria; Bacillati; Cyanobacteriota; Cyanophyceae; Synechococcales; Synechococcaceae.
AUCUGCCUCAGAGGGGAUACGGCCGGAAACGGCCGCUAAUACCCCAUAUGCCGAGAGGUGAAACGAAUUUCGCCUGAGGAUGAGCCCGCGUCUGAUUAGCUAGUUGGUGUGGUAAUGGCGCACCAAGGCUUCGAUCAGUAGCUGGUCUGAGAGGAUGAUCAGCCACACUGGGACUGAGACACGGCCCAGACUCCUACGGGAGGCAGCAGUGGGGAAUUUUCCGCAAUGGGCGAAAGCCUGACGGAGCAACGCCGCGUGAGGGACGAAGGCCUCUGGGCUGUAAACCUCUUUUCUCAAGGAAGAAGACAUGACGGUACUUGAGGAAUAAGCCACGGCUAAUUCCGUGCCAGCAGCCGCGGUAAUACGGGAGUGGCAAGCGUUAUCCGGAAUUAUUGGGCGUAAAGCGUCCGCAGGCGGCCUUGAAAGUCUGUUGUUAAAGCGUGGAGCUCAACUCCAUUUCAGCAAUGGAAACUACAAGGCUAGAGUGUGGUAGGGGCAGAGGGAAUUCCCGGUGUAGCGGUGAAAUGCGUAGAUAUCGGGAAGAACACCAGUGGCGAAGGCGCUCUGCUGGGCCAUAACUGACGCUCAUGGACGAAAGCCAGGGGAGCGAAAGGGAUUAGAUACCCCUGUAGUCCUGGCCGUAAACGAUGAACACUAGGUGUCGGGAGAAUUAACCCUCUCGGUGUCGUAGCCAACGCGUUAAGUGUUCCGCCUGGGGAGUACGCACGCAAGUGUGAAACUCAAAGGAAUUGACGGGGGCCCGCACAAGCGGUGGAGUAUGUGGUUUAAUUCGAUGCAACGCGAAGAACCUUACCAGGGUUUGACAUCCUGCGAAUCCCUUGGAAACGAGGGAGUGCCUUCGGGAACGCAGUGACAGGUGGUGCAUGGCUGUCGUCAGCUCGUGUCGUGAGAUGUUGGGUUAAGUCCCGCAACGAGCGCAACCCACGUCUUUAGUUGCCAGCAUUCAGUUGGGCACUCUAGAGAGACCGCCGGUGAUAAACCGGAGGAAGGUGUGGAUGACGUCAAGUCAUCAUGCCCCUUACAUCCUGGGCUACACACGUACUACAAUGCUACGGACAAAGGGCAGCAAACUCGCGAGAGCUAGCAAAUCCCAUAAACCGUGGCUCAGUUCAGAUCGUAGGCUGCAACUCGCCUACGUGAAGGAGGAAUCGCUAGUAAUCGCAGGUCAGCAUACUGCGGUGAAUACGCUCCCGGGCCUUGUACACACCGCCCGUCACACCAUGGAA